GUUGAUAAGGUUAAGUGAAUAAGGGCGCACGGUGGAUGCCUUGGCACUAGGAGCCGAUGAAGGACGGGACUAACACCGAUAUGCUUUGGGGAGCUGUAAGUAAGCUAUGAUCCAGAGAUUUCCGAAUGGGGGAACCCAAUAUCUUUUAUAGGAUAUUACUUUUCAGUGAAUACAUAGCUGAUUAGAGGUAGACGCAGAGAACUGAAACAUCUUAGUACCUGCAGGAAGAGAAAGAAAAUUCGAUUCCCUGAGUAGCGGCGAGCGAAACGGGAAGAGCCCAAACCAACAAGCUUGCUUGUUGGGGUUGUAGGACUCCAAUAUGGUAGUCUGUUAGUAUAGUUGAAGGAUUUGGAAAAUUCCGCUAAAGAGGGUGAAAGCCCCGUAGACGAAAUGCUGACAACACCUAGGAGGAUCCUGAGUACGGCGGAACACGAGAAAUUCCGUCGGAAUCCGCGGGGACCAUCCCGCAAGGCUAAAUACUCCCUAGUGACCGAUAGUGAACCAGUACCGUGAGGGAAAGGUGAAAAGCACCCCGGAAGGGGAGUGAAAUAGAUCCUGAAACCGUGUGCCUACAACAAGUCAAAGCUCGUUAAUGAGUGAUGGCGUGCCUUUUGUAGAAUGAACCGGCGAGUUACGAUUGCAUGCGAGGUUAAGUCGAAGAGACGGAGCCGCAGCGAAAGCGAGUCUGAAUAGGGCGAAUGAGUAUGUAGUCGUAGACCCGAAACCAUGUGAUCUACCCAUGUCCAGGUUGAAGGUGCGGUAAAACGCACUGGAGGACCGAACCCACGUACGUUGAAAAGUGCGGGGAUGAGGUGUGGGUAGCGGAGAAAUUCCAAACGAACUUGGAGAUAGCUGGUUCUCUCCGAAAUAGCUUUAGGGCUAGCCUCGGAAUUGAGAAUGAUGGAGGUAGAGCACUGUUUGGACUAGGGGCCCAUCUCGGGUUACCGAAUUCAGAUAAACUCCGAAUGCCAUUCAUUUAUAUCCGGGAGUCAGACUGCGAGUGAUAAGAUCCGUAGUCGAAAGGGAAACAGCCCAGACCACCAGCUAAGGUCCCAAAAUAUAUGUUAAGUGGAAAAGGAUGUGGGGUUGCACAGACAACUAGGAUGUUGGCUUAGAAGCAGCCACCAUUUAAAGAGUGCGUAAUAGCUCACUAGUCGAGUGACCCUGCGCCGAAAAUGUACCGGGGCUAAACAUAUUACCGAAGCUGUGGACUACACCAUUAGGUGUAGUGGUAGGAGAGCGUUCUAAGGGCGUUGAAGGUCGAUCGUGAGGACGGCUGGAGCGCUUAGAAGUGAGAAUGCCGGUAUGAGUAGCGAAAGACAGGUGAGAAUCCUGUCCACCGUAUGACUAAGGUUUCCUGGGGAAGGCUCGUCCGCCCAGGGUUAGUCGGGACCUAAGCCGAGGCCGAUAGGCGUAGGCGAUGGACAACAGGUUGAUAUUCCUGUACCAGUUGUUUUUGUUUGAGCAAUGGAGGGACGCAGUAGGCUAAGGAAUGCAUGCGAUUGGAAGUGCAUGUCCAAGCAAUGAGUCUUGAGUAGAGUUAAAUGCUUUACUCUUUAAGGACAAGUUGUGACGGGGAGCGAAAUAAUAGUAGCGAAGUUCCUGAUGUCACACUGCCAAGAAAAGCUUCUAGUGAGAAAACAACUGCCCGUACCGUAAACCGACACAGGUAGUCGAGGAGAGUAUCCUAAGGUGAGCGAGCGAACUCUCGUUAAGGAACUCGGCAAAAUGACCCCGUAACUUCGGGAGAAGGGGUGCUGACUUCGGUCAGCCGCAGUGAAUAGGCCCAAGCGACUGUUUAUCAAAAACACAGGUCUCUGCAAAAUCGUAAGAUGAAGUAUAGGGGCUGACGCCUGCCCGGUGCUGGAAGGUUAAGAGGAUGGGUUAGCUUCGGCGAAGCUCAGAAUUGAAGCCCCAGUAAACGGCGGCCGUAACUAUAACGGUCCUAAGGUAGCGAAAUUCCUUGUCGGGUAAGUUCCGACCCGCACGAAAGGCGUAACGAUUUGGGCACUGUCUCAACGAGAGACUCGGUGAAAUUUUAGUACCUGUGAAGAUGCAGGUUACCCGCGACAGGACGG
This 2078-nucleotide ribosomal RNA is filed under the name Enterococcus faecalis. Its description in RNAcentral is "partial 23S ribosomal RNA". It matches the Rfam family "Bacterial large subunit ribosomal RNA", at positions 1 to 2083 of the family's 2925-position model. The record is from RNAcentral. Lineage: Bacteria; Bacillati; Bacillota; Bacilli; Lactobacillales; Enterococcaceae.